Molecule: long non-coding RNA, 29472 nt
Organism: Mus musculus (house mouse)
Lineage: Eukaryota; Metazoa; Chordata; Mammalia; Rodentia; Muridae
Product: predicted gene, 41107
Exons: 2
Source: RefSeq, a predicted model, not a curated record
UAAUACACUCAUGCAUCAUUCAUACAUACAUACAUAUGUACAUACAUAUGUAUAUAUACACCAUACACAAAGAGUUCUGCUCAUUUUUCUCUGGGUAGCUAUUCAUACUGGCAGAAAGAUAAUUGUGGAUUUUAAAGAUCUGAACCAUUGAUUGGUGGUAUGGUAUAUGUUCUCCCAUUCCUAAUACAGCUCAUGGUCUUCUUUAUUAUCUAUAGCAAACCCAUCUUCCCCUCACUUGGGUUGUCCAGGAAAUUGGUUAGUUCUCCCUGAUAAAAUCACAGAUUCAGGUUAUAUUGUCUCAGUGAGUCUUUUUGGAGUCUUUGGAACCACUGUGCAUCUUAUCAAGUUGUAUGUUGGAAAUGGAAGUAAGGGAAGAAGCCCAAAUGAAACCUCUGUCUCCCUUAAAAGCACAAAGGUCCCUGCUGUCUGCCUCUUCAUCCUGGGUCUGUCUCUUGUGAUGGACGGGAACCAGGGUCAUCUAUAAGACUAUGAUUCAGAGGAGCUCCUAGAGCAUAAUUUCCAGGGUCAGAGAUUGGAGCAUGUGGAGAGUUAAUUGGCUGAUUAUCGGGAGGCGUGGCAUAUUGUGCCUUGAAUUUACAUGUGUUGACAACCACACCCUAACAUCUAUAUUUAUGAGACAUACUUAACAUUUAUUUGUGAUUUUUUCCCCUUAAAAUCAAUAAUAGUCUAUGUAGAAAUAUUGGAAAACUCAGGAAGGUAGGCAGGGGAGAAUCUUAACAAUUAUAUACCUCCAUUACACAAUGGUUAUGAGGCAGUCCUUGUCUUUUCAGAGCCAUUAAAAUGAUGCAUACAUCCAGUCUCUGUUGGAAAUAUUUUUUUAUUUUGGUAAAUAUCACAUGAUAAAAUAGUUUUUAUGUUAUGUGUGUGUGUGUGGUGUGUGUGUUGUUCAGAGGACAGCUUGCAGUAGUUUGUUUUCUCCUUCCUCCAUGCAAGUUCUGAGGCUCAAACUCAUCACUCCUUGUGGUAAGCACCUUUACCCCCUAGCCAUCUGGUAGACCUUUAUAUGACAAUCUUUGGUGGUACCUUAAACUAUUCUUUAGUGUUGUCAUAUUCACUGGUGGUCAUAGCUCUGGCAAGUGACUUUGGACAAAUUUCCAAGGAAGGGUUUUGGUUCAGAUGCUGAAUUGCCUUCUUACAGAAGCUGUGAAUGCCAGGUCUCCCAGAUUCUCCCACAUGAUCCUGAAUGCCGCCAUGAAUGCCAGGUCUCCCAGUUUCUCCCACAUGAUCCCGAAUGCCGCCAUGAAUGCCAGGUCUCCCAGAUUCUCCCACAUGAUCCCGAAUGCCGCCAUGAAUGCCAGGUCUCCCAGAUUCUCCCACAUGAUCCCGAAUGCUGCCAUGAAUGCCAGGUCUCCCAGAUUCUCCCACAUGAUCCGAAUGCUGCCAUGAAUGCCAGGUCUCCCAGAUUCUCCCACAUGAUCUCGAAUGCCGCCUCCCGUUCUACUUUUACUUUUGGGUUAGAGAAGAGAACGCCAUGUUUUAGCCAGUGGGCUCCGGAUCUAUACAAGGCAAAGAGAGCUUUUGAAUGAGUUGCCCUGGCAUCCAUUCUCCCUUUCUGAUUCUUUCAGGAGGAAAGAGUCUCCCUUGUGGCCCCAUUCGGCUUCCCCAAAUGCCCUGAAUGGUUUCAGAGGGGUGCCUGCUCAGCUUGUUGAACACAGCAGGCAAAGCAGAGCUCCUGUGGUAAACAGUGAUAAAUAUGCCCACGUCAAUCUGGCAAUAAAAGUGAGAGGGUUUAAUUGAUCUAUGGCAACAGGAAGCUUACGUUUUAAAAAUUAAAUUAUUUGCAGUCGCAUCUUAUUUAGCACCGAGGAUAAAUGUGCUGGGUGGCAAAUUGCUUAGAAGAACAUUUCUGAUGGGAGGUUGCUUGCCACUCUUUUUCCUUCUGCUGGGUCGGGGAGGUGGAAAGGACUGGGGUGGGGAGGGAUGUUGUACAGCUUCAGGUAAGAGCUCUGACUCUGCCCUCUUCAUGCAGCCCAGCUGCAUGUCACGAAAUGGGCAUUUAGCACACUGUCACAGCUUCUUCAGAGACAGAUAGACUACACAGCAUUCAUUCAUGUUGCACACAGUUGGGCAGAACUGAUCCAGCUAACUUGCAGAGAUGGGCAGUGAAUGGCUUUGGGCUAAGACCACUCUGGAUUGAGCUGCUUCUAUUGCUUACUCUAUGCUUAACUGGCUUUGGUAUGUGUGCUAUGUGUAACAUUCCUACUAAGUUGAUUGGGACAUAUUAGGUCUUCCAUAAGCAUGGCUACUAUACUAGUUCAAUGGACAGGGUGCUAGCAAGAAGGCUUAGAGACGGUUCAAUCCAAUGAAUUCCCUGGUGAUCACUGGAACUCUUCACAAGGCAAUGAGGGUUGCCUCUCUACUAGCAUCCCAUGUUUGUAUUUCUCUGUGUCCUUUGGGAUGGCCAAUGGGCAGAGAUUCAAAGAAAGUCAACACAUUCUUCUCCUCAUAUCAUAAGUCUUAGAUUUCAACCAUAAAUGAGUGUGCUUAUCAAUUUAGGACAUAGACUUGAAGUGAGGAAGAAAUCUUUGUUAUGAGACUUUGAAACUAAUUUUUUUUUAUUUCAGUGAGCCUGACCUAUCCGAACUGUAACAAAUAAUGUAGUUUUCCAAUUGCUCCUAAUAUUUUGCAGGUUAAAUCAUUUCAUGUCAUAUAAUUUAAAUUUCUGCUAAUUAGGAAUAGGCCCGAGAAGAAACUCUCUAUCUGUAUAUCCCAGGAGAUAAGCUCAGAGCGUGCUCCUUUGUCCCUGGGUCUUCAUUAAAUAGUGUCUCUACAGUUGAGGGCCUGGUACAAAUUAUUUCUGAUAUCUAGCUGUCCAGGAUUUUCCUGGGUCAUCCCUGGAUGGGAUGGUUUUAGUAACAAAGAUAGACUAGGAGUUCUCUACAGGGUGGUGUUACCAAUCAGUCUUUAGCGAUUCUUCCGAGCUGUCACGUUCUGCAUAGGCUGGAACCAGCAUCCCCUUUAAGCUGACCAAUAUGGUUAAGAGGAACUACAGAACAGUGAAACAUUUUUUUUUUGUUCUCAAAGUAUUACUGACCAUUCAGGUGUCCCCCAAAACGAAGCAAAAACACAAUCAAAAGGCAAAAUGCAGAGGCAUCUGACAGGUCUAUAUAACACUCAGCUGGAAGACCCCGAUUUCGCACACUCUCUGGCACGACUCACAGAGACAGAAAACAGUUUGACUACAUUAGGCUAGGAGGAGCACUCAGGGGCAGGUGUCAGCCCAUGAAUGGUUGCCAUGGUACUUUCUUCCUAUCUCUCCAUCUGUGAGUCCUCCUGACUACCUGGAUUUCUACCCACUGAGCACAGAAGGUAGAGCGUGGGCCAUAGAAGGUAAGACAGGGUUGGGAAUGGUGGGCAGCCACAGAGAGUUGUGACUGAUGCAGGCUACGUCUGAGCUUUAUUUUCUCAGAGACGACCUGUAACACACAGGAAGCACUUCCCACUAGCUGUGCCUCAAUAUUUCCUAUAGUAAUUGGGGGUAUUCUAAGCAUCAACUUUUAUUUUCACUGAAACAGUUUUUGUCCUCUGGAACCUGAGGCCUCUUAGCUCUACCCAUCUCUCUGCCUUCUUGUCUGUUCACAGGAUAUGAUUUUGAGGUGUCAGUGAUAUUGCUAUUCAUGUUAUGUCGGGGAGGGAGCUUUGGUGCUUUGAGGGUGGUCAGGGUAGCAAGACCGGCAGAACUUUUAACUCUUUUAUACUUUCUAGGGAAAGUAUAAAACCAGGCCACCAGGUUCUCCACCACAGAGACCUGCGGCUGCAGGAUGCAGUUUGUUGCUUGAUGGCCUUGGUAGUUGUUCUGUGUUUAGUGCAUGAGGCUAGGAUGCUAAAUGCCUUGCUUAGUGUUCAUCUGGGAUGAAACAACAACAACAAUAGCAACAACAAUAACAACAACAAAACCAACCCUCUUCCCCUGAAUGUGUGUUCCACUGAGGACCUGUGGAUGCUUUUGUAGAAUGACUCCCUAGAUAGCCUUCAUGGUAAAAACAAACUGGGCAGUAAACAUUGAGAGGUGGUUGGUGUCCUCUCCAAGGGAGUCUAGGGAUGGGGAGUUGAAGACAUGAUCCCAGCAAUUAUGUUUCUUUUCUUAUUAGCAGAUAGCAGCUAAUGUUAUGCAGGGCUCACUCCUUCCAAGGCCGGGAAGAACACUUCCCAUAUGUGUCUACUAUAGCCCUAUGUUCUCCAAAUGAAACUAUCGGAACCCACAUCUCACACACAAAGUGGCUGAGGCCCAGGGAAGCCCAGAUGCUCACUCAAGGCUGCACUGAUGCUUAGAACAGUCAGAGAGUUGGGGUUGCAUGUGCCAGGUCUGACUCUGGUUUUGUAGUUUUUCUGAAUUGCUCUUAUAAUACAAACUAGCACUAUUUAUUUAUUUAUCUAUUUAUUUAUUUUUUUUGCAUUAUUGUUUUUAAUGACCUCUAAACUUUGGCUUUUCUGUGUAGCAAUGUUUCCUUUUCCCUGUUAAAAUCCCUAACAGCCAGUAGAAAUAGCUAUGACAGCGUUUCUAGUGCACCCCAAGACGCCCCAGGCCUCAGCUAGAGCCACACUACUUCUCCUCCCUCUUUCUCCCGCCUUUUAAAACCAGCUCUAGUUUGGGAAGCUGAGUACAGCAGUGCCCCAGGAGGCCCAGGUGGACUCAGAAGCAAGGCUUCCCAGAGGACUCACCCUGGGCUACAGUGCUUCUCCCUUUAGGCUGUGCAGGUUGGCUCAAAUCCAAGGUGGUGGUCAUGGGAAAAAUUAUUCAGCCUUGCUGUCCCAGCCCUGGAACAGUGGACCUUGGUUUUUGAGUCAGAGAGAAGAUGUAUGUGUGUGUGUGUGUGUGUGUGUGUGUGUGUGUGUGUGUGUUCACUUGCACAUGGGCUCACACGCCCAUACACUCCCUAUCUGAAAGCCUCUUUCGUCUCCUCUGGGACUGGCUGUUGGUGGCUUUAGCUGCUCCAUGUUCCCGGAUGAUGAAAGGGAGCCAUUAUCCUCUUUUUGCUUGGGUGUCUGUGUUUAAUUGUAGGAAUUUAAUAACGACAAAUUCUCCUUGGCUGAGGCUUUUCAUGCCAGCUGUUUUCUCUUUUCCUUUGGACCCUUCCUCAUCCAUGCUGUAGCACAAGGUCACUUAGGGUUUACAAUGAGAUACAAACACACGCGCAGGUUUUCUUUAGAGUUGAAAAAAAAAUAAAGGCUCCUCCCCCAGACCCGUCAUUAUGGAGAUCAGCUGUGCACCCCACUCCCCAUACCCCGUAAGCUGCUCUCUUGACUAUACACAGAACCCUGUUCUUCAUUCUUCAGGGUGUCUGCUUUUUCUCUGGUUAUGCAGAAACAAGAGAUGGGCACAAUGCAGAAGACCAACAAAAGAGGUUUAGAAGGAAAAAAAAAUCCCCAAUCAUUCUUGAGAGUUAUUAAAAACAAUUGGAGGCGAGAGCGAAAGAAGGGCUUCCAGCCCCCGUCCAGCCCAUCUCCUGCUUCUGGGGAAGUGCUUUUUUAAGGAAAUGCACCAUUGUUAAAACUUUUCCUCCCCCCUUGAUGGAUUUAUUUAUAAGGUAGAGAAAUAUUUUCCCCAUAAUUGGGUAACUCUUAAUAGUAGCAAUUGCAUAUUUAUCAGUGUGAGGGGCUGUUAUUAAUGUAACUGUCAGGCCCAAACACAUUUCUGCAUUAAAUCCAUUUAGUAUGUGCAUUAUUCGGGCAUGAAUGUCACCGGGACAUCAAAGCCCCGUAGGCAUGGGGGCUCAGUGCCCUGCUGCGGCUGCCGAACAGGCCCUUGAUCAAUAAAUGUAACAUGUUAAUGCAGAGCAAAUAGAAUAAAAGAUUUCUUUGACAAGACAUGAAAAAUCACCUUGUGGCAGCUGGCAUGUGAUGCAUUUCUGGGGGAGACACCAGCAAAGUUGAUCUGACAAGUAAAGAGAGGAGAUGAUGGCUGGAAGGUGCUUUUGUUUCAAACUUCUUUCUUGACCUGUCAGGUUUUGAAGGCGCCUCAAUGGCUCUUUUUUUUGUCAUGUGAAAAUUGUAGUCUUAGGUAGUUAUGAAGCAGUUAUCUCUUCUCGGGAUUGUGAAUGCUGCUGUUUAAUUGAUUCACUUAGCAUUUGAAACUGUCACGCAUUAAUAAUUGCGAAAUCCUGUAGAUACUGCGCACGGAGUGUGUCACGCUUAAAUGUGUAGUUAUCAGAAAAUUAAUAUCCUUAAUGAACCAGUGCUUUCAAACUAACAUUGCAUGAAAUCUCUUUGGCCCUUUCACUUGUGAAAGCCACAUCCUCCCGUUUGCGGAGAAUCACCCCUCGACAGUUUGCUUUCUUGAUGCCCGACAAAUGCCAGCUUUGCUGUGGGUACAUCGCGUGCUCAAUGACAAUAAAUAUAGUAAUUAUACUGGAGUUAGUAAUUAACAUAAUUGUAGUCAAUUACGACAAAUACAGUGCAGCGCUAAAUAAACGAGAGGAGGAGAAAUUAGCAAGCUAAUUGAUUUGUCUUUACUCCGCUUUCUAUUCUAACUGGCAGGGCUGUUUUUCUUGGGGUGGCGUGGAGAGGAGGGGAAACUCCCCCACAAGGAUUGUUUACAAAUAACCGAUUUUGUUUUGAAGCCACUUUGUCUUUUGACUUAUUAGACUUCACCCCUACUCUGCUUAGCAAGGGGAAAAGAAAGGGAAAGAGAUUUUAAACGCCAAGGGAGCGUUUUUGCUAAUUUAGCUACAUUGAGCUGAUCGCUGAGACUAAGGCAAAGGCGUGAUUUACCUUUCCCUAUGGCUUGGGGAGUUACAUAGCUUUCUUUUUUUUUUCCUUUUCAGCUAUUGCUUUGGUAAAAGAAACUCUGUGUGUGUGUGUGUGUGUGUGUGUGUGUGUGUGUGUCCUCAGACUCCACCAGCAAGGCUGUGCUUUGUGGCAUAUGCGUUUGGGGGGUGGGUAUUGUAUGUGUGUCCUAGUUCUAUCAGCUUUAUACUGUUGCCUUGGUGGAAGGAAUAAGUGCCUUUUGCUUGGAUUGGUCUCCCCUUAGUCUGGGGUACCUUUAUCCUUUAGCUAAGGAAGAAAAGGCAUGGGCAGGACUGUUGGAGAGGGCAGAGGAGGGGCUCAGUCCUGGACCCCUGCUCAUGGUCUCUCUCUCUCUCUCUCUGGCCUCACUUCAGGGCUGUUAGGGUCCUGGGCACUCACACUCCUGAGCUGCCUGGAAAGUUUGUGCUGGGGUCUCACUGCCCAUUUAUCUCAAGCUGGUUUAUGCUGCGCUGCCUGGAGCCCUGGUUAAUGGUGUUUAUCAUGUGCCUCUCUUCUUUGUUCACCCUUUCCAGUGUGGCUGCUGUUCAUACCGCUUAGGGUUCACACCGUUCAGAGAGAAACUGCGUAUUUGGAGGCUCGGGGUCACAUCAGCCCUGUUUAUUCUCACAAGUUUUAGACACAGAUUUUUUUCCCCCUUUGCGUCUUGUCACAUGUUGAGGGUUGGUAACCAGAACCUUUGCAGGUUUGCGUUAUAGAAGUCUUGCCUCAGCUUUCCCGAGAAAAACUGAAUGCUUUUAGAAUAUGAUUUUUUUCAAGCAGUUCUCAUUAUUUCUCUAUCUCACUUACUUACAGUAUUCCUCUGAAAAGCCAAGGGCUUGGGAAAGCAGGUAUUUGUUGGGUUUUCUUCCUGAAGGUUCUGCUGCAUAGCUUUUUAGUCUGAUACAAAGGGAGUUGAGGGCAGUGGUUUUCACGGGACAUAGUGCAUAGAAUCAGGCAUGACCUGGCAGGGAGUUUGCCUGUCCUGGUGCCCUGAAGUGCUGCCACAUCUGUGAACACCAGGUUGUGCCCAGACAUGGCUUGGUGUGGUCAUCUUUCACGUAUGAUUCAUUUGGAAAUCAAUUUCUGAUAUCAAAUAUUUACAUAUAAAGAGUCAUUUAAGUUAUUUACAGUAUUUGUACAAAAUGUUUCCCCUCAUGAAACCUCAAAUUAUUUUAAUAAAUGCAUAGGACAUUUCUGAGGACAUUUUUCCUUGGGCAGUUGGGAGAGGUGUGGAAGACAUUUGGAACUUCAGCCUGAUGUAAUCAGAGAGGGUCCAGACGAAAUGGGGAGAUUCAUACUGAGAGCUUUGUUUAAUCAGAAAAGUUCAAUCAAGCUCGGGUGGUAGGCCUCUAGAGAGGGCAUCUGCUCUUGUGUGGAGGCCUGUGAAAGGUGUUGGGAGUGUGGGCAACAGGAAGCAAGAGAUUGUAUGACUACAGAGAGAAACCUGGCCUCUGACCACUGUCAAAACAUGCUGUUGGAAUCAUAUUGUCUCUUGCGUCCCGACCUGGCUGCUGGUUUCCACAGUCUGUUCUCUCUUGAAUGACAUUCAGAUGUUUAGCAGAAACACCCAAGAUGUUGACAAAGGAAGCCAUUGAAUCUUUAUCACUGCUACAAGAAAGUUGGGCUAAUUAGAGCUAGCUUUGUUUGGCUCUCCAUUUGCUUAAGAAAUAAUAGCACAAGGGAUUUUAUUUUGCAUUCUUUUAAAAUAAAACACGGUGUGCAAAAGUUCCAUACCCCCAAGACCCUAUUCUGUUUCUCUUCCACAUACGACAUCUCUGAGGCUAAAGCACUGGAUUUGUGAAAGUUUUGCUCUUUGGAAGUCCUAAUUUUUUGUUGUUUUUUGGUUUGAUUUUCCUUCUUCCUUUUGUUAUUUGAUGGGCUCUGUGGCUGGAUCGGUACAGAAUGUGUCUGUGGGGUUGGUGGCAAGGAGGGCAAGGGAGUGGCAGGAUGAAAGCUUUCUCUCUCUUGCCUUCUGAGAAGCUGUGUGGGUAUGCACCUGCCCACUGGCAUAGUCUUUGAGGGGAGUAUGUUAGAAUUGCUUGGUGGCAUGCUUGCUUUGUUUCAGUGGUAUAUCUUUCAGGAUAUCUUGAUCGUCCCCUCUAAAUGCAUCAGCUUGCCUCCUAAGAGCAGAUGAUGGCCUAAGACUGGGGAAGGAGUGUGGGAGGCAGAUGUCUGCCUCCGUGCUGACAGUUGAGCAGGAGAAGGUCCUAAGCUGGUGCACUUUUGUGAAUUCUUCUCAAAUACCUGAGCUGGAUCAACAUCACAGAAAGCCAGCUGUCAGCCCACUGCAAGUGGAAAUAGCCAACCAUUAUCCUGAAUUCUAUUGUUGGAGCUGGGCUUUAGUUAAAAAAAAUUCAGCCUCCCACAGGGUUUAGAGAGACUAAGCCUGGAAGUGACUCCCCAAAGUCAUUGUCUAGUUCCCUCCUUUGGGGAACACUGGACUUGUCCAAGCCCCAUGGCUUGCAGUUUCAGAAGACCAACGAGAGAGAGAAAUUUAACUGUCUACUUGUAAGGUUUAUUUUAUCGUUUUCCUCCUUAGCUGGAGGUGGAAGUCAGCCUGGGGCCUGCUAAUGUUUAGAGGAUGCCAGCAGGAUAUAACAGUCUUUCUAACUGUCAUGGCCAUUUGGAUCCCUCUGUGCAAGUGCGUGUGGGUAGGCUUUCUCCAAGACCUUGCUUGGUUCAUGCAGCCUUGACAACAGAUACAAUACUUGAGGAAGUACCUGUAGGCAUGGCUCAGGAUAGCAUGACUUCUUCAGAGCUGUCUGUCCUCAGAGGCCAAGAGCAUAGACAUUUGCAUUUUCCCACAUACCUAGAUACUAUCCUAGACUUUCAGUGACAGACAGGAUCCCGUGAAGGCUUUGAUACUGGGUUUGAGUGUAGCUGGAACUUAAACACAGAAUGGUAUCUCCUGCUAAAGCUUACAUGCUCAAUGUGGAGAUAAAGUGAUUCAGUUGGAGUGAAUACAGACAACUGGAGCAAAGGCUGUGUUCCUUCCCAGAGAAUUUGGAAAACUCUAGAAUGCCCUCUGCUGAUGUCACUAGUUUGUUGUCACUGAGUUAGUAAACAGAAUUGAGGGGUGGCAUGUAUGGGCAUGGUGCCAGGGAGGCAGGCAGAACAGCUAAACGAACCCAGGUGAGCCUUAGGAGGCACCCACAUGGGUGUCCCAAGGCACACACAGGACAGUCCAGUCCAGUUAAGCAUCAUUUAAAUGCUGGUGUCCAGGAUAUUCUCAGGGGGAGGACUCCAUCAAGGGUAACUUCACAAAGUGAUGGAGACCUUGUCAAUUACAGAGGAAGGGCAGGAUUGCCCUGUUGGGUCAAGAUUUGUGGAUUAGGAAAGUGGCUUGUAUAACAUCAGGUUUUGGAACCAGGCCUUUCUUUGGUAGGAUGGUGAGACCAUGGGCUUUGUACCAGGAUCCAGGAAGAGACAACUGGAGAGCAGGGUACACUUCUUCCUGCAUGUGAAGACAUAACUCCCAUCCUGUGUAGAGUUGGGCUGGUUGUACCACGUUGGCAAUGUUAGAGUCUUUUGGGGAGGCUAGUCAAGUAAGGAAGGACUAGGGGAGAUAUGCGUCCUCCUGAAGCCUUCACUGGAGUUACAGUCACGGGGCAGGAGAGAAGCCACCUCUAACUGAAGAAGGGUAGCCCAUUUGCAGGCUGAGCAAGGACCAAGCAUGCACCCUGACAUGCAUACAUGGCAAUUAUGUUGUUAGGAGGAUCACAGCUAAUGGAGUUGUUCUACAACUUGAGCGGCAAGCAUGCAAGACCUCUUUGUACCCACAAAGCCCCGUGGGCUGGCCCUGUGCUCCUUCAGAAGGGGAGAAGCUGGAUUUUCAGAAAUUAUGUUCAUUAUCAGUCUCCAGUAUGCUUAGGGGUUCAGUCUCCCCUGGGGGAGUUUGUACCUCAGUGGUUCUGUACAUGGCGUGGGGCUCCCAUCAUCAUCCACUGAAAUGCAAGCAUGUGGCUGGUCAGUGGCAGGCCAAGAUGGAAAGGUAGCUUUGCCCUACCAUUGAAUCGUCUACUCUGCACCGCUACACACAAACAACUCCACUGCUCCAUCUUAUCUUCAUGUUCCUUUGCUGGAAAACUGAUGUAGGUUGAUAACACAACAGAGGGGAAUCCUGUCUUCCAAGCCUUUGAAAAGGGACCCCUUCUCCGCCCCGCAAAGGCCGUUGCUGCUUUGUUCUCUUCCUAAACUUAUGUUUGAUUUUAUCUUUUCUUCCCCCAAGAGGCAAUAAAAUUCUAGGCUGUGCUGUGAGUGCUGGCGUACCUCAGAGAGAUAGCAGGUUGGGUUCCAGACUGCUGCAAUAAAGUGAAUGUCGCAAUAAAGUGAGUCACACAAAGUUUUUGAUUUCCCAGUGGAUAUAAAAGUUAUGUUUACACUGUACUGUAGUUUGUUAAGUGUGUAACAACGUCAUGUCUAAGAAAGCUGACACUCUAAUUAAUUUAAUUUCUAAAAAGAAACUUUACUGCUAAAAAAAAUGCUAAGGGUUAUCUGAGCUGGUAGAAAACCUGGUGCUGAUGGGCUUCUGUGAUGUGGAGUUGGCAUAUCUGUGAGGUACACUAAAGUGAAGUGAGGUACUCCUGAUUUUAGAAGUCUGUCUAGAGUAUGGUUGUGUAACAUUUGUUGUCUUCCUUCUUUAUGGACCGCCAGGACCCUAUCUGGUUCCAUCUCUGGUAUGUUUUGGUCCUGUUCUUGAUUUCGUUCAUCUGGACAACUUUUAAGAGCCCAAGUCUUUGUUGCCUCAAAGAAGUCAUCUGUGGUCUCACUCCUCAGGGUCAACUCAGGUCGAAUAUGCUGUUCGAAUGCUGGUCAGUCCUUAAGUUACCCCAAGGCACUAUUGACUGUGUCUUUGCUUUUAAAUGAGAUGCUGAAUUCUUGCUAGCUUACAGCUGAGAGUCACUGUCAGAGACCAGAGUGCUUAGGCUGGAGGCAGAGCAAGUAGGUUAAGGAGAAGACACUACAUGGCAUUCGUCUGUAGCCCAUCUUACGUUCUCUGUGAGUUACUGAAGAAGCCAUUUAAUCCUCACUGUCAUCUUCCAGACAGGGAUAAUGGUGCUGGUCUAGCAGGGUCAUGAAGAUCAAAUGUGAAAUAUGAGUUUUGUACUUGUAGAGGUGUCCUGGCAGAACACCGAUCCCCAGAGCACUUGUCAAUUCUGAUUCUUUUGUUUGUGAGCAGAAUUAUUUUAAGGGUUGUGUGGCCUUGGUAGGUUUGCAAUGGCAGGGCUCAGAGUGCAAAAUAUUGGGUCUGAAUGGCCAGGUUUUGGGAAUACAGCUGAGUGGUGGAGCACUUGUCUCGCAUGGAUGAGACUUUUUGAUUUAAUCCCCCAUAGUUAAAGACUAAAUGGAAUGGCCACACUUCCCUUGGGCAAGGACAACGGAGAGAACUUUCCCCAAUUUAAUUCUGUUCUAAGGGGAGGGGAGUAGGGUAGGAAGAGAGCAAAUCUUCAUUAGAGUACACUGAGCAUAAUUAUUAUUAGCCUCCAUGGAAUAUUAAGGAGGGCCGUGCAUGGUGGGGCACAGCUGCAAUCCCAGCUCUCACAGUGUGAGGCAGGAAGUUCUUGUGUUGAAAGUCAACCGGGGAUGCUUAGUGAGACGCUGUUGCAACCCUCCAAAGGAAUAUUAAGUGUUACAUAGGAUAUGGCGAGACUUUAAGAAAGCCGACUGCCAGAAUGAAAUUCCAUUUUAUUUAAUGAUUUCCAGUGACUUACUGUUUCUUUAAGUCUACUUGUAUUCAUGAACUCAGACUGGGGAGGACUUUUCUUACCCAAGCCUUUUGCCUUGGGCUGGAGGAUCCCUCUCUUUACCACCUCCUACAAACCAGGAGGAUCGCUGACCCAACGAGUAUUUCCUAGUAUGGCGUUUGGGAUUAUUCUUACAAGCUCAAGUUUGAUUUUCCUGCAUUUUAAAGAAGUUUAUAAGAUAUGAUGUAUGUGAACAUGUGUGUACAUGUUCAUGUGUGUGGGUAAGGACAAGCAUAGACCAUUCAUAUGUGUGGAGGUCAGAGGACAUCCUUAGGUGUUGGUCCUUACUUUUUACUUCGCUUGAAACAAGGUUCGGGUGUGGCUGGAUUUCUGCCUGUAAUCCUAGCUCUGUUAGGGGUAGAGGUAAGAGGCUUGCUGGGGCUUGCCAGCUUGUAGCCUAGCACCAGUUUCAACAAGAGAUUCUACCUCAUAGGAAUAAGGCGGAGAGAGAUAGAACAGGAUACCUAAUGUCCUCUGAUUUGGGCACAUACAUGCAUAGGAGCAGACAUCUACACACAUGUGCACGUAUAUCUACUCCCCAUGUAGUAAAUAAACAAAUUUAGUUUUUUAAAAGUUCCUUUUACUCUCUUGCAAUUAUAAACAUCAUAGUAACUAUUUUAUGCAAAUAUAAAAAUUCAGAAAAAUAUACCCAAGGAAUUAAAAAAACAACCCACAAUCUUAUUAUAGACCAAUAAUCUCUACUAACAUCUCAGUAUGUAUAAGGUUUUACAAAAGUAGGAUUAAAUUGCAUGCAGGCUCUUGCAGCCUAUCCUUUCUUUUAAUGCUUUAUGAAGCUUGGUUUUCAUGUUUUUUGUUUUUUCACUGACAACAUAAUUUUUCUUUCAGAUAACUGUGCCAAUUUCAGUUAUUAUUCAUUGCCUUAUUGUUUUAUUUAUAAUGUUUAACAUGUAUAUAUAUGUAUAUUUUUCUACUUUUUGCUGUUAAUAAGAAGUACUUUGAGGGCCUUCAAGAUGGCUCAGCAGAUAAAGGGGUUGGCCAAGAAGCCACCUCACUUCAACUUGAUCCCUGGGGCUUGGAUUGUAGAAGGAGAGAGUGAACUCUAGCAAGUUGUCUUCUGACCUCCAAAACUGCAACAUGGCACACACACACACACACACACACACACACACACACUAUGAGGUAAUUUGUCAAAGAGUGAAAUCACCGAACUAAUCAUUAAAUCAUUAUUUAAACAAAUCUUUCCAUGAAGCCUCUGUAGGGAAAUAAAUCUCCCUCCUUACUAUAUAUCACUAGGUUUAUGGCUGAGGCCCUUGUAACAAGUCCCAAGUUAAUAAGUGAAAAGCACACAAAUUUAGGUAGUAUAAAGACUUAUAAUUUUAUUAUGUUAAUGUAAGUGCACAACAAGGGGACCCUCAGAACUGAAAGCAUAAGGAGGCAGGGAAAGCUGUGUGUAUUCUAUGCUUGAUUUGAUGGAAAAAGUAGAUAAUUGUGAGGAGGCAUGGUUGGAUAUCAAAGUAUGAUGCUGGGAACCAUGAACCUGGGGAGACUUAGCCCUGGCUGUCCUAGAACUCACUCUGUAGACCAGGUUGACCUUGAACUCCCAGAGAUCCACCCGCCUCUGUCACCUAAGUGCUGGGAUUAAAGGCAUACACUGCCAUGCUGGCUUCUCUUAAUGGCCCAGAGAUGUGCUUCAGGUGAGAAGAACUGGGGGAAGCUGAGAUGGACCUUCCUGCUUCUGCUGUCUAGCCACAUAUCGAGAGGCUGUAUUUUCGAGCAGGGUAGUCUUCACUCCCUACCUCCUUUCUCCCUAUCUCCUGUAUCGCUCACAGAGUGUCCUGGGUUUGGCGUUUUCUCUUUCACGACUGGAGAUGGAGAGGGGGUUGUCAUAUGUGACCUCCAUAGGAUCCAUCAUUCUGAGCAUCUUAAUUAAGCCCUGCCAUCUUCAUGUACACACUACUUGUGUGCAUUUAGCUCAACUUGCAGAUUUGCAGAACAUUUCACAGAGGGCAACACUGCUUCCUACAGGCCUUCCUCCCUUCUCUGUCCAUAGGUCGCCAUUGGCUACUUCUAGGACACUGGUAACUUCUGUGCAGAAAGUUCCUUUGCAAUCCUCUGACCUCUACCCACAACAGUGCUAGGAUUACCUGCAGAAAUCCUGCCACAUCCAGACUUUGUUUCAAACAAAGUAGAAAAUGAGGACCAACACUGAAGGCUGUCCUCUGACUUCCAUACAGAUGCCUGGCAUAUACACGCCCUUAUCCACACACAUGGAUAUGUACACAUGUGUGCACAUACAUCAUAUACUGCAAACUUCUUUUCUGCACGGUCUUUUGCCAAAAAGGGUGUGGGGUGGGGCCCUGCAAGGCCUCGAAGCUGGCUGGUGGGGGAAAGCAAGACACCCAAACCAUUUUCAGCUCUGCAUGUGCAGAUCCAGUGUUUGAAGCGUACCUACAUUUACCUGCUCCAGCAAGAGGCAAUCGUUUUGCAUUUUAAUGACAAAUCAAGUACGCUAACUUGCAUUUGAAACGAAAGUGCCUUAAAUGUCUCUGGCUGUCAGAAUGAGAUGUUAGGAGCUUGAUGAAAAGCGAACAAAGAAGACAAAGUAUGAAGCCUGGAUACAGUGCAAAAUGAAAUAAAACCUUGUAUGGCCUGUCAGGGGUGUCAGUUGAUAUUCAUAUCUAAAGCACAUUAUAGCGUUACUUUGCAGCCUACAGCUUACUCAUCUGUCUUGUUUAAUUCAUCACAUUGGAGCCCACAUCUUUUAAGUCUCGUGUGUCAACAAUGGAAGAAAUCUGUUAAUUGACAAAUGAGUGUCACAAAUGUGAAUUGGUGCCUUUACAUCAGCGGCAGGUGUAGUCUCUUUUGUUUUUUGUUGGAUCUAUUAUUGGCAUAAGCCAGUGUAAGACAUCUGUCUUUGUCGGAAUGAGAAAUGACAGGCCUUCUUGGCUGUCAUUGUCUUAGCGCGUGCUCAUUCUGUGAGAUACUGUAUAAAGAUAAAAUGUCAGUUAAAAGAAUAUGAAAAACUAUCUGGAGGAAGUCCUUAAAUUACUCAGAGAGGGGAUCCGGGAAUUGGGGUUGGAAUUGAAAUUCGAGCAUUUCACUUUGCAUCCAUCACACCUAUUUAAAAAUAAUAUUUCCCAAGGAACAGGAUGAAGUGAUCAAGCAUUUAGGGAAACGUUAUGUUGUGUUGGUAUAAUUAGCUUGAUAAGGUUAGCAGAAAAUUCUUUCUCUGCGAGACAGGGAUCUAUUUAUUGCAGGGUCAUCUCUCAGACAAGCACAGAAUUGUCUUAGUACAAAUACUCCAGGUGGGAUCCCAGGCACUGAUUUGCAUGGAUUUGGAGCUAUUGAAAUUGUUCCCCUCCAAUUUCCCAUUCAGCUCUCUUCCUAUUUCAGACUGAUGAGAAGCAUAAUGGGGGGGGGCAGUCUUAGAGUGACAAGGUAGCGAGCAUGGAGAGAGCGGUGUGUGUCCUGGUGUGCUGAGUGAGUCACUCAUGUCUGUGCACCUAGGCUCUGUGGAUUGCUCACGAGAGUGCUGGUUGGAGGAGGUAACAGGCCUGGUGACGGAAAACCAUUCUUUUCUUCUUCUCUCGACACUUCAGCGGGAGCCUGGACAUCAGGGACGGUGAGGACAAGGGGACUUCAGUGAGACAUGUCCUGGUCAAGGAUGGGAAGACUCUAAGGAGAGCGGUGUGUGUCUGAUGAAGUUGGUGUAGGGUUAGCCAGGAUACACUGCUUGUCUCACAGGUUCCUACCUAGUGCUUACCUGCUGUUCAGCAGACCUAACUCAAGUGUCCUGACCAUCCUUCCCAUAGGACACCUGAGGUAUGCCCCAGACACCACAGAGAUAUGAGAAAGGGGACUUCUUAGACGGGACUGUCCCAGAUGGCUUCAACAUCAAGCAAUUAUUCUGAGUGGAAUAGAUCCACAGCAAGGCCUGUAAUUCUGCUAGUCCUGGGAGGACCUUUCCCAGGAAGGCCUCAAGCCCUCAAGGCUUGCCUAUCCUUCCUUUCUCAUUUCAGCUCGUCGUGACUCAGUACAAAGCUUACCCCUUUCAAGUCACAAAAGCACACAGUGAACCAGGGAGUUGUUGGGAGGAUAGAGUUGGUAUUUUUCUGAGGAAACUCUGGAAAACCCAUUUUCUUUCUUCACUUUCCCCUCCCUCCCCUGAGUGUUCCCCUCCUUCUUUUCAGAUUCUACGUGUGGCAGACAUUUUCUGACUGACCCUUAAAUUCUCUGUUUUGGAGGGGAUUUUAAUUUUGCUUUUAAAAUUAAAACAAGGUUUACCUGAUGCUGUUAAGGCGGGCCAGAGAGAAAGGGAGGGAAACAGACUUUCCAAGAGAGUUCACAAGCUGAACCAAAGGCCCUUUUCUACAUUAGCCAGGAUGCUUUUGCCACGUCGGGAGAGGGCUGUUUUAUUUCACUGGAGGCCCAGGGUUCACAGAAGCAGGGUACCAGAGCACGGAGAGUGGGCAUGUGUGGCUGCACACAUCUCUUGUUCACCUUCUAAAAAUGGGCAAGGCAUGCACGUCCACCUCGUGUUUAUCUACACACACAUCUGUGCGCACAGACACAGGCCAGACCCGUGCGCAGACGUCCUUUGCUGAGCACACUGAAGGACAUCAGAAGACCAUUUUUUCCCCCAGUCCCUCUUUCUGCUUUUCACGGCCAGCUGUCAUAGAGAGUCUGAAACAGACACACAAUUUAUUGGGUAGUGUUUAGAAACCUGUCGGUGGUAACGACUGUAGCUCUGAUUUCAAUUAACACCCACUAAAUUUAGGCAAACUCCGCGCAUGUGUGGACCUGUUGAAUGCACUUUGCAUCACGUUGCAAAAAAAAUCUGUAGUGGCAAUAUUUUAGAAAAAGAUGGAGCCUACGUGGUCAAGUGGCUUGUCUGUCCCUUCCCUGACCUGGCACCUGGUGGCAGCUCUUCUGUGUAAUGCAGGCUUUGAGAGUCUGGUUUGGGUGUUUGCAAAACAACUUCUCAAUUGCUGAGAGCCCAGCUAAAGUUUUAGCAUCCAAUCUGGCUUACGGAAAUACUUCCUUACAGUUCAUAAUUCACCAUUUCUCACGCCAUGCUCAAUCCCCUUUUCUGGCUAUUUGGGUGAAAACAGCUGGGGAAGGGCCACAUUUUAUGAUUAAGGCACUAAAAGAUUAGCUGUAGGCGCUGCCCCAUCUCUGGGGCUAUGGAACUCUGGCUGCUGACAGCAGAUCUGUUUUGAAUCGGACUCAGAUUAAAGUGAGUGAAAAUCAUUUGGGGGCUGAGGGCUCGAAAGGUCACACAUGUAAUGAAUUGUGGGUGCUUGCCUGGCUUCCCAGGCGAGAACCGUAAGCAAUUAUUAAAUGCCAUUGUGUGUCAGGAAGGGUUGGUUGGUGGUGACUUUGAAGCCUUCCAGAAGGGAGCCUGGGAGAUUGCAAGAAGUGGUAAUGAGGCCUUCACCGAGAGGGACUUGGGGGGUGGGGUGCGUGUGCUGCAGCUCUACUUGGGCAGGAAAAUUUUAUUGCAUUCUCAUCUUUGGCUUGCUUGUAUCUGUAUCAAUGAAUGUAGCAACUGUGGAGGGAUGGGUUUUGGGGGCAGGGUUUGUUGAUGGUACCUUUCUCCUUUGCCUGGGUGAAUUCCUUCCAUGGCUCUCUGCUGGAGGACUAGGUGUUUUUGUCCCUGCCUUGAGCUGUCCUGCAAACGUUAAUAUGCACUUAUCAACUACUUCUUUAUUAAGGCCAUCUCUACCUAUCCUGGGCAGCUGUGGAGUUGUGCAGCUGUGAGGGACUGAUAAGGUCUGAGGGUCAUUCUCUCUUCCAGGCAAAGAGGUGUCUUGGCCUUGGUUGAACAAGGCUGUGUUCUGUUGUCCAAUGUAUUUAAAUCCUGGCCCAAUGUUUCUACCAUAUAAGUUCCUGGUUGAGAAACACACACACACUUUAUAUUUACAAUAAGCCUUAAACAGCAAAAUAGUUGGGCAGAUACCACCCUUUGUGUUGUUGGAAUGUAUUUUCCUAUCUAUAACCCUGAGUUAUUAUUUACUGUGUUUCAUCUGGGCUGCUCUUAACUCCAAUUGGUCAGCCCUUAGAGCCAAGUUCUCUUGACUCCUACCCAAUGGUGGCUUCUCUUCCUUUUCCUCCGCUGCUUCCCCCUCAUGGUUCUCCUCUGACCUUAAACCUGGGCAACCUAAACCCCGCCUAUGUCUCUUCUGCCCAGCUAUUGGCUGUUGGCAUCUUUAUCUACCAAUCAGAAAUAACUUGGGGGCAUGGUCUCAGGGACCACGUGCAGACUCCAGGUCUUUGGGGGCCGCACUUAGCAUUAUAAUAGACAAUAAACUCUCAAUAGUGUCCACUUUCUGUUCUCCUUUGCUGAUUUCAAUCUCAGGUGGGGUAGCCUGGUACUGUGGAAAGCUUCCAGAAAAUUCCAUCCUAGAAAGGGGUUCCCACGGAAUGACCCCUUUGACUCACUUAGAAGCCAUUCUCUCAGGAGUCCCUGUUUUAGCUUGUGCAAAACCUUGAUGUAAAUCUCAGAAAGUAAAAGGGGAGGUAGGAGGCUGGAGACCUAAAAGAUUCCCUUUACUUGGCCAUCGUGUUUGUUCUUUUGGUGCCUGGAUUGGUUUACUCACUGGUUCCUAAAUACUUGCUAUGUGCCAGGUGAGGAGCCUGGCAGAGAUGAUUCAAUAAUAGCUCAGUCCCCAAGAGAGAAACCCAUGUAGGGACAGGUGACUACAACCCAGGGAAAGGACGGAUGGGAUGCCCACCCACCCAGAGAGUAUGGGAAGGCUUCCUGGAGUGGGUGUAUUUUGAAACUGAAUCUGUAAAGAGGAUCAGGGUAGACCGUUUGGGGGAGUUAGACUGAGUCUGUAGGCAGGAAGGUAAGCCCGAACAAUGGCAGAGAAGGAAGUCAGAGUCAGGGCUAUACUUGACCUGGCAGGAAACUUUCCCGCUCUCUCCAUAGCCCUUCUCUAUAACCUGUCUUUCCAGUGUUUUGAGACAAUGUCUCAUGUAGGCUAGGCUGCUCCAGAGCUUGCUGUGUAGCUGAGGCUGACCUCAAAUGCCCCAUUCUUCAGCCUCUCCCUCCCAUGCUGGAUUAGAGGCUCCACACCUGGGCCUCACUUGUCAUUUGACCCCUAGCAGUCUCUGGCUUGUCCAGUGACACAUCCAGAAUCUCAAGUGUCUUGGUUACUGUCUCUGAUCCUCAAGAUGGUCCAUAGCAGACUUGUUGUUGUUGUUUUGUUUGCCUCAUCUCUUCAUUCUUCCAUGUUUCCUUCUUGAGUUUCUCCUAUCUUUGAGUGGGAAUCAAUCAGGAUGUCCAGGAAGAAAGAAAGAGGGGAAACACAGGACACCAGGUGUUCUUGGCAGACAGAGAAUGUUAAAGACCCCUGUAGGCAGCUUGUGAGUAUCAGACAUCAAACUUGUGACUCUCCACCUUCCCUAACUCCUAUUCCUGUUACCUUAUUCUCCUCUUUGCUUCUUACUGAGGAGCCCCAACUCAUUUAGGUUUAGUGCAAAUGGCUGAUAAAGAAGGAAAAGUCUUCAAGGAACAUCUCCAAGCUUCUGGGGACGAUCCUGGUCUGAAUGUUUAAGUGUCAGGCAUCCUAGGUCCAGCAAAAGAAUUUGUUUUUAGUGGAGAGGUAGGAGGGGGACUUAGGGUCUCCAUUAUCAUCUCAAAGGUCUCAUAGGUGCUAGUGGAGAGGUAGGAAGGGGACAUAGGGUCUCCAUUAUCAUCUCAAAGGUCUCAUAGGUGCUAGUUAAUCAUUUGGAAGCUCCUUUGCUCUCUGUUGUCUGUAGUUAACCCGGCUCUCUUUGAGGGAUAUGGCUGGAAGUGGAGGAGACUGUGCUCUGUGAGUCAGGAGUAGAGAAAGACGCUCCAGCAGGAGUCUAGCUGUACUUUAUGUUUUCAACGCCAUCCGGUCACUAAAUGUUGGGGAUAUGGACAGUUGGCAGUACCUUCUGUUGACAGAGUUCUUUCUAGAAGGGACCCUUCCAGAAUACAGAUUUUUCUCAAAAGUGAUACCCUGUGUGACUAGACAAAAACCUUAGCUAGCUGACAGUUCCUCUUGGCCAUGGCCCUGCAAGAUCUUGUGGGUUAGAGUUUCUUUAGGAUUUUCCUUUUUGGUCCAGUGAACUUAGAAUAAAAGGAAACUUUUUUUUCUCCCUGUUAUGAUAGUAUUUUUUUUUCCAGGAGGCCUUUGUGGGAAUGUUGGGCACAGGGUUUGGUGGGGGGAAGGGUAGGAAAAAUGAAUACCAAGCCCCAAAGGGGAUAGUGUGGGUUGGGUAGGUAGGGGUUUGUCUGCGUUAUUGGUCCAUGGCGCCCAUCCAGCCUGUGGCCUCUCUCACACAAAGCCAUCGUUCUGAUUAAUGGCAUCCGUGCCUCGGAGGCAUGGAUUGUAUUAGACCUUGUUUAACAGUUCCCUCUAUACAUCCACUUCCCCUGGAAGUGCACCAAAAUAGGAGGAGAGGAAAAAAAGGACUGAGAGAAAGACGCUACAUUUGGACAGGGUAGAAAGGAGAGCCUUUCUUUCUUUUUUUUUCUUCUUCUUUUUUUUCCAUAACUGCUUUCUGUGACUUUCUGGAGGCUUCCAGGCUUUAUCGUCGCAGCGCUCCUCUGGGAGAGCCAGAGGGGAAGUGAAGACAGACAUCUUGGGAAAGAAGAUGGGUUUCCCUGCCAAAACUGGGAGAUGGUGCUGGCUCUCUUGGCUCCUUAGAAACUCCAAGAAAUCUGCUGACAUUUUAAAGGAAAAGAAAGAGAGGCUGGGGUGGAGGGUGGUGAUUUAUGAUGACAUCACGUGUUGCCCCAGCAGAUCCUGUAAGAGGAAAAUGGCUUUUAUAGCGAGCAUGUUGCAAUAAAGAAACACUGAGUCAUGGGGGAGCAUCAUCGAUUGAAAUGCCUUUACUUAUCUGCUUUAUCUACUGCUUCCCUGGACCCAACCAGAGACCGUGGCAGCCUCCGGGGCCUUGCUGCAAAGAGUCCUGAGGCUUAGGAGCCUGAGCCCAGCCUGAAUUCAGAUUCUGCAUGCUAUUUCCCUCUGUUCAACGUCUUCCUGAUGACACCUAUUACAUCUGGUGUUGCUCCUAGCUUCCUGUCACGUGCAGGUGUAUUACAUCCUAUGUGUAUGUGCACACACACACUCAUGAGGGUGUGUGUUGGGGCUGGGUUAUGCAUCAUGAGGUAGGCAGUAGAGGAGGGGGCUGUGAGAGGAACCAGCAGUGUCUUUGCUUGGCUUAGAGCUACAGAACAAUGCGGGGCUCAUGGAAAGAUGGGGCAUGGUGUCCAUGCUUGUGCUGUAAAGACUGGAUAGGUUGAUGUAGCUUAUGGGAACAAGAGGCAUGCUAAGGUGUGUGCCAUGCUAACCACUCACAGGAUACCAACACUAAACCACGGUGACAGAAGGGUCCUGGAGACUUGUUUGCAAGAGUUCUACCUUCCUCAUUCUUGGGUGUGACCUCUCCUUUUGCAUGAUGAACUUUUUCAUCUUUCUCAAGAUUCGAGUGCCUUCUUGCUUUUGUUAUUGUUGUUGUUGUUUACUUUUGUUUUUCCUCUAUCAACAUGGUCUGAGGACCAGGUCUGAAAACUUUUCAGAUGAAGGCCAAGUUGUCAGAAUAAUUUCUGAUAUGUGUUUGCAUACCAGUGAGGGUCAAAGCAUAAAGCUAGAGGGUAAAAAUCUUCCAGAGAAGUUCUGGCCAUUAGGAGGAGGGAAUCUGGGUGUGUGAUAGAGACUGGGGUCUAUAGGAGGGGGGGCGCCUGGGUGUGUGAUAGAGACUGGGGUCUAUAGGAGGGGGGUGUGUGAUAGAGACUGGGGUCUAUAGGAGGAAGGACCUGGGUGUGUGAUAGAGACUGGGGUCUAUAGGAGGGGGGCCUGGGUGUGUGAUAGAGACUGGGGUCUAUAGGAGGGGGGCCUGGGUGUGUGAUAGAGACUGGGGUCUAUAGGAGGGGGGGGACCUGGGUGUGUGAUGGAGACUGGGGUCUAUAGGAGGAGGGUGUGUGAUAAAGACUGGGGUCUAUAGGAGGGGGGGCCUGGGUGUGUGAUAGAGACUGGGGCUCUGUUUGAGGAACAGGUGAAUGGUUGUGCAAUUAUGUUGGAAUGCCAUCUUUUCUUCUCUCAGUUUGCUGUGCUUGGAUCUCACUUCUGUGGAGGAGAUCCUCCUUAUUGGCUCCCUUGGAUCUGAGCAUCCCCUUUGCUGUUUCCCUGGAACUGUCAGGUCCCUGGAGGGCAUAAGUUUGGGAGUCUUUGAAAAGUUUGGGAGUCAUGAGAAGGGCAGUUAUUUCCAGAGUCAUGGUUAGGACAUCCUUAGACCUUGAGUUUUAGGGGACCAGAACAGGCAAUGUCAAGUUUUUCUAUACUCUGGAAGGAUCCAGUCCAGGUUGGAGAGGAUUUGAUUAAUCAGCCUGGCCCUGCAUGUUCAUGGUAUGGUAGUGCUAUUGUCCCCAGUUGUGGGGUCAGAGGCUCACCCCUGGGCACUGUGCUUUGAGCGGAGAGGUUGGCUUCAUCCUGGAGAAAUGGUCUAUCAUAUUUAUGCUCUUGGUGUCUGCUGGACACAAGCAUCUCUUUUUCAGUCUUUAAAAUGACCAGAGGCGAUGGCCGCUGGUGCUGGCAAACCUCUCGUAAUCAUGUCACUCCAGUUUUCUUUCUUGAGUUCUGAUGCAGAAGCUAUGAGGUCACAGUGACCCCCCCACCUCUGUGAUCAAGACAAAGUCCCAAUUCUAUCCAAAAAGUCAUACUUCUUAUACUGCAUAUAUCCUGGUUGUUGGGGGAGUUGAAUUUUGGGUAAGAGGCUGGCUUUUUGAACUGUCAGCAGCUGUGGGAUGUCAGUCUUACCAUAAUCCUUUCACUACAGGGCACUAGGAAACCAUGCUUGGGCAUCACAGCACCCGACUUGCAGAGUCAGCAUUGGAACUUGGUUUGGUCUGUUCCAAGACUCUGGUACCCAACCAAGCUCAUGCUCAGCUAAUGGUACCCAUAUUGUUUUGAGUUCUGCUGUUUUUCACUUAACAUGUCAAAAGCAUUUUUUCUGUGUUUCUAUAGUGUUCACGAUAAUCUUUUUAAAUGACUACACGAUUUCUCUCCCCGAGCUGAUGUUCUCUAAAUGUAAACCAGCCCUCGAAAUAUUGAAUGUUUACUUCUCAUCUCUUUGAUGUUGGAAAUGGAGCAGGGGGUUCUGAGUUCCCUUUCUGUCCCCCCCCCAAAGAAGCAAUUAGCCCAGCGCUGAUGGAGCUUGUGGGGGGCUCCAGGUUGUGUGCGGAUCCCUAUGUCAGGAAGGUUCAUGGGAGGAGAGAGUGGCUCAUUGUCCUUGAUUCUUGGUCUUGAUUCGAGCCAGACUUGGCUGCUGGGUCCUUGACCCCCCUUCCUUGGGGGAGGACCCGAAUCAUCUGACAGCCGGUCCCUUCUGUCUCACUCCUUUGCACACCUUAGUCUCCAGGCCCUAGUCCAUUCUCUGCCUGGAAUGUUCCUUGCUUUCUCUCUCUCCCAGUUUCUCGCUGCCAAAUCUGCUUUACCUUUUAAACCUCACUCCCCCCAACAGCUUGCCCAGUGUCAGUGUCUUCCUGUACCAAAUUGCCUGAAACCACCCCACCCCACCUCACAGCAGCUUAGGUGCUGAUAAGGGAACUUUUACUGCUCUAAACUAAGGAAAGAAACAAGGGGGCCAACCCCCACCCAUGCCCUCAACCCCACCCAUGCUCUUGACCCCUACCCGUGCCUUCACCGUGUUUCAGACUGUCUUCCACUCUACUCCCAUUAGUUCUUAGGACCCUUGGUGGCACAAAUCAUUGCUUUCCCCUCACAGUGAAGCGAUCUGCUCAGUUGUCAAAGUGUGGCACUGAUUCUCAUGUAAGCUGCACUGCUCUCCAAUGGCGGGGUCCAUUGCUUAAACUUUCCUUGCUCUUCGGUGUCCAGUGUUUUGUGCAAGACACAGAGUAGGUGCCCAUUAAGUGCUCGCUGAGCUGCACACCGGACAGUCUCUUUUGUGGGGCGGUGGUGGUAAGAAUUCCCCCGGCACACUGCUGAAUCAGGAGGGGAAAAUGUAGUCAGCCCUUCACUCAGCCUGUGCUUUUCACUCCAAAUGCUGAUCUCUGCAGUUUAGCAGGGGUCAGGCAAUGACAGGAGGCGGAGAAGAGGAAAAACAUCUUGAAGCUGCCUCCUGCUCCAAGCUAGAGCAAAGCUCCACAUCUGGUCCUUGUCUUCAUCCUUUAGUUUCUCUCUUCUGCUGAGGUCCUAACAGCAGGCAAGAUGAAGCACGGCCAGCUACCAGAGGGAGGUGCUCGGCGCUUGGUGGCCCCAGGCUCAGGGGCUGCAGCUUGAGGUGGGGGUGGGAAGGAGCAUCUUGGGUUUAUGCAGCUCAGGUGUGCCCAGGACAAGGCUUGGCCUCUGUAACCUUGAAGUUUGCACCCGUUUUAUUUGUGCUAGACCAAGACAGUUGUUCUCUACACCGGGCGUUUUAAGAAAGCUUCUGGAAGCUGUGAGGACUUGAGAAGAGGUAUGGGACUGGAUGUAAAGCACAGUGGGGGCCCAAUCAGAGGUCCCCCCAUAAAGCAGCAGCAGAUAUGGUGCUUCCACGGAGACCAGCACCAUAUGCCUUGUGAUAGAGUUAGGCUGUGAGCUUCAGGAGCCACACAGACAGGAGUAGAGGGGGCGGCUGGCAAGCUAAAGGGACCGUAGAGAUAGGCAUUUUAUGGAGAGAUGUUAGCGAAUAUCACACAGGCAAACAUGUUUGGCAAUGCUAGAUUUCCCAAAGUUCAAUGCUUUCUCAAUUUCAGAAUUUCUCAGAGCCCUCUACUGACAUUACCAGGAAGCCUGGGUUUAGAGAUAGGAGUUGAGGGUGUAUCUUCAGUGUGGUCUCUGGUGCAGGAACCCAGGCAAGGUCCUUGGAUUCAAGUCUGAAUUUCAUGUGCAUUUCUCACUACAAGGUUGGAAAAGCUGCAGCUCAAUUUCCUCUCUUAGGAAAUGCUGGCUCAGAGGGCAAAGUGAGGUGAUUCCUGCAGACUGCUCAUCUAGUGUCUAGCUUAUAGUAACUGUUCAGUGUAUGGUAGUAGCUAGACUAUUUGUGCCCUCAUGAUCUGGGCCCCCAUCACCAGUAACCAUGGAGACUUUGCCUUAAAGCACAGAAAACGGGUUCUGUUCCCUACUAACAUCAGCAUCACCUGGGAGUUAGUUGGAAAUGUAAACUCCUGGGCUGUUUGUUGCCCCUACUGAGUUUCAGACUCAGUAGAGCUGGGAUGAGGUCCAAGAGUCCCGAUCUCCACAGCACCAGUGUUAUUUAUAUUAUACACAUAUUUGUAUCGCAUGCUGUUUAUCCAGACAUAUGGCCACCUCUCAUGCUAGCCGAUGCUUCCUUACCCAGGAUCCCUCUGAAGUCAGGCAUGUGGGGGUGAGCUUAUGGCUAGAUGAGAAAUGGGAAGGGAGUAAUGUUUUCUCUUUAAGCCAGUCUUGCUUGGUUGAGUACAUAUUAUAGUCUAUCUGGACCACUGUAACAAAAUACUGCAGGCUGGAUGGCUUGUCAAUGCUUUUCUCACCAGUUUGGAAACUGGAAAGUGUAAGAUCAAAAUGGUGCAGAUCGUAUCUGAUGAGGGCUCACUUUUUAGGUAGCUGUCUCUGUACUCUCACAUGUUAGAAGGGGUAGGGGUGGGUCCCAGCUCUUAUGAGUAUACUGACCCAUCUGUGAAGUUCCACUUCCCCAUUGGGUAACGACAGGAGUAAGGAUUUUAAAUUAUGAAUUUGAGGGGUAGGUGGAGGCAAAAACAUAGACCAUAGCAGGACUGGUCAAACUUUGUGAGUACAGGAGACUGUCAGUCAGGUGACUUUGGGCCAGGGGUCAAGGUUAGUCAAAGUGAGACAUGCACUAAGCCUUUAUCGUGUUAUAUCAUUUUUAUGUGUUGUGUGCAGGUGUGUACAUAUAAGUAUAGGCACACAUGUGUCAUGGAACAUAUGUGAAGGUCAGAGGGCAGCUUUCAGGAGUCAGUUAUCACCUUCUACCUUGCUUUGAGACAGCAUCUCUCUUGUUAUUUUCUUUACCUGGAACUUAAGGCUAGUUGGCCCCAAACUUGUAGGUGUUUCUCUCGUCUCUGCCUCCAGUCUCACCACAGGAGUACUGGUAUUACAGAUACACACUACCAUAUCUAAAUAUUUUUAAAACGUGGAUUCCAGGGCACGCACUUUUACCUACUGAAUCAUUUCCCCAGCUCGCUCCUCCUUUUGGAGACACGGUCUCACGUAGCCUAGGCUGACUUUCUGUCCACUACAUAGCCAGAGAUGAUCUUGAAUUUCUGAUUCUCCUACUUUUACCUGCCAUAUGCUAGGAUGACAGACAUGUGCCACAUUAAAUAAGAACAUUUCAUGUUGCACCUUGUCCUAUCUUAUGAGGGCUGGUCUCUUGUAUUGGAUUGUAAGAUUCCUAUGUGUACAUGUGACAUGGUCGUUAAUGAAUUUGUUAACAUGGCUUUGAGGAUGAUCACUACCUAUAGGAAUUGUUCUUUGUUGUCUGCCAUAUCUUGACAUUUGGUUACCUGCAUAUUCAAUGGUAAAUGCACAGUUACUAUAAGGUACUCUGUCUACCAGACUGCUCAUCAAAGUGGGAAUGAAUUCUUUUAUAUCUAGCCUAGCACCUGGCAAGCAGUCUUGCUAUAAUAACAACAGCAGCAAACAACAAUAACAACAACAGCAGCAGCAACACUAAAAACAACUCUCUUGAAACCCCUUAAAUAUCUUCUGGGUUUAUCAGAACACUUUACCAUCCCCUGGCCAUAGCUUUCAAUUUUCUUUUGUGGGUCUUAUUUCCUUCUUUCUGUGUUUUCUAUGAGAUGUUUCUCCCUGAGAACCAUCUGGGAAGCCUCCUUGGAGGUUAUUAUAGGUGUAGUGUGACUUUGGGGGGACAGUUAGAGCUAUUGGUGGGAUCCAGCACUUUGGAGACAGCAAGACCCAGGCAGAUGCAAUGGAGUAGCAGAGGAAGCCAGAGUAGGUCUCUUAGCUUCAAGCUUUGCCUCCCAGUGUUAAGGGGAUUUUUCUGAGAGGUCACUGGAUCAACAAGUCCUCCCCUUAGUCAAGUGAAGAGUCUUUUUUUCCCUAAGGAAACCCUUAAGAACCUCUGAAGUCCAUUGUUUCAGAUAAUUCAUGGUUUGCUAUCCAGGCUCCUUUAAAGUACAAAGAGCCCAAAAUACAAACCUAUCUCCUCACAAUAGAAUCUACUCUUGUUAUGGAAAUCCUAGGGAUUUUACAUUAUAAUACUCACCUAUCAGGCAUGGAGAGAAAUGAAACUUCUCUCUGUCAUUGCACUUGAGGUGUCCCUGCUGUCUGAAAGUGAGCCCAAAGCAGGAGGUGUCAGCCAAUCCCUUGCCUAGUAAACGAUGAACCACUGCACACAAUGGCUUACUAACUCCUCCCUCUAAGGCAGUGCUUUUAAAUGUUUUUAUCCUGAAGGAAGGCGUAGGUGUUGAAAGUGAUUUUUGGUUAUGUUUUUCUGAGGUGGUCUAAGACCGCGUUUAAGGAAGAGCCCCCCCCCCCCCCUCCCAAUACAGUUGACUUCUGCUUGAACUUGGGUGGAAGCAUUUGGACAUUCCCACACUUCCCCAGAAAUCUCUGUUCUGGCCCACCACAGUGGAUCUCAGGAGUUUUGUGUGUGUGUGUGUGUGUGUGUGUGUGUGUGUGUGUGUGUGUGUGUGUGUCCCUAGGUUGAGAGUGAAGCAUGAGGUUCAAGUCUUUUCUGAUUUCCGUUUGAAGACCAACAUGACAAAGUUAGACUGACUACAAAUAACAAUAGCAUCACUGCUUAUCAGUAUGGGUCUCAGGCAGAAACAUCAGGGUUUGUGUGGACCUAUACACGGCCAGGGAAUGUAGACCGAUUGUUUCUCUGGAGACAGCUGUGGGGGUGGACUCCUACCCCAGUUAUGUGCAGACUCAGCCUUCCACUUCCUCCCCAAAUUUGUUCCUGUCUCCUUUAUCUCAGCGAAUGGUUUCCCAACCCUCCCCGCAUCCCGAGUGAGUUCCAAUCUAAGUUCAUACUCUUACUGUUGCUCUUGGUGCUCCCACUUCCACCCCUCCAGCCUUGCCAACAAAGCAGUUAGUGAGAAUCAAGGUCAGAUCCAAGUUGUCCCUGCUCAGAACUAGUAGCUGUAGAGUAGCUGUAGAACUUGGGUCAACAUCCUGACCAUGAGGGCCUUUUUUGUUUGUUUGUUUGUUUGUUUGUUUAGCUUAGCUGAAGUUCUCUUAAUCUCUAGCCAAGUGGACUGACUGUGUCUUGUGUUCUUUCUUUUCUGACACAGGGUCUCAUGUAGCCCAGGCUGGCCGUAGACUUACUACAUUGUAGAGAAUGACUUUGAAUUUCUGGUCUUCCUGCCGCUACCUCCUCAGAGCUGGGAUUUACAGCUCUGUGCUGUUAUGCCUGGUUUAUUCAAUGCUCCAGAUCAAAGCCAGGAUCCUGGACGUGCUAAGCAAGCGAUUUGCCAUCUGAGCUUCCUCCCUAGCCCUUUGUGUUUUUCUAGCUCUUGGUCUUUGUUUGUGUAUUCCCUCGAGGUGGUUUGCCAAGGCAAGAGUACCACAGGCUGGGUAGUUUAGGAGCUAUAGAUAUUCAUGGUCUCAUAUUUCUGUAGGUUCCACAUAUAAGGUGCAGGCAGGGCUGUUCUCUCUCAGAGCCUCUCCUUGGCUUGAAGGUGGCCAUCUUCUUGUGUCCUCACAGACAGCGUUUUCUGUGUGUCUGCCUAUGCUCUAAGCUCAUCUUCUUAUGAGUCCAACAGGCUGAUAUCUCCACUUUUGCUUGACUGCCUUUUAAAAAGACCUGUUUGUGAGUGCAGUCACAGUGGAAGUCCUGGUGGUUAGGAUCACAAAACAUAUUGUUUGGGGGGGAUCUUGGAGGGGGUGUAUGGAUUACAAUUAAACCUAUAACACCUGUCCCCUAGGAAAAAAUCCUGUUUUUACCUCUGCUUGUCAUAUGUGUACGCUCAGGGUCUGAUCAGGGCGAUCUGAGUCUGUCUUUCCAGAACUGCCAUUCUCCCUAUCCUUGUACAGGACUUCCUGGCAGCCCUAAGUCUCCAGAGCCUGCCACAGCAGCCCCAGGG